This is an RNA transcript of Octopus sinensis (East Asian common octopus), 5227 nucleotides long. It is a transcript of the gene named phospholipase ABHD3, with no coding region annotated. The record is from RefSeq and is a predicted model, not a curated record. Lineage: Eukaryota; Metazoa; Mollusca; Cephalopoda; Octopoda; Octopodidae. The transcript is spliced from 11 exons.
CUCCCACAUUCGGUCUUUUCCUCUGUCAAAGGUCGAUAUGUCGUCUGUUGCCGACAGAACCGACGCAUUGGGUGAGAGAUGAGAGGCGCCGCCGGAUAAUCCUCACCUCCUCACUCUAUAUAAAGAUAAAUGUAGAUAUAUAUAUUUAUACUUGGCGUAGGUACAGACGUAAACAUUAUUAGUAAGAGAUCGGACUGGCAAAUAACAUUCGUCUGGUACGUCUGCUGCUGUGUUCACUGGAAAAGGUCCUGUCAAGCCUUUCAAUAAAAGUCCGGCUGGUCCCAGGGAAGAAGGAAAAGAGAAGAGAAAAACAGGAGCAAAAAACCCCAGAAAAUCAACAACACUUUCGCCGUGAAUUGGGAAUUUCUAUUAUGCAGUCUCACUAGCCAGGUGUAUAUAUUUAUACACACAUACACGCGCGUAUACAUACACACACACACACACACAGUAUAUAUAUAUAUGUGUGUGUGUGUGUGUGUGUUUUGCGGUUAGUCAUUCAGCUUGACGAACAGAAUUGUUUCCAUUGACAGAAAUCAACGGAAUUUAAUCAAACCAAAUCAAAGCAAAUCAUCGUAAUCUGACGAAAAUUCAAUCAAAAAUCCUACGAAAGCCACCCGAAGUGACGACCGACAAUUACUAUAGUCUUCCAUUAAGAAGAUUAUAAAGAGAGAGAGAGAGAGAGAGAAAGAAAGAAAGAGAGAGAGAGAAAGAAAGAGAGGAGGACGAGAGAGAGAGAAAGGGGAGGACGAGAGAGACAGAGGCAGAGAGAGGGGAGAGAAGCGCGCGCGCGUGUGUGUGUGUGUAUGAAGUUUGCGUCAAAAGGGAAAGAGAAAAUAAUGGGGAGUCGCGAUGGAAACAUUUCUGCCCAAUUCUUCGCAACCGGUCUCGACAUUUCUGCCUUGGCAGACUAUCUUUGGCAGGCAAUAGAGUAUUUCCAGGAGUAUCCAUCUCUGCCUAUUCUCUGUGUAUUCGGAGCCACAUACCUCGCCUACUACCUGCUCUAUGUCGGAAAGAAACCCCAGCUGGUUUGUGGAGAUGAAAAACUUUUAAAAUUCAUUACAAAACACUGCCCAAUUUUACACGAAAAGUUCUGGCCAACAUUUUGGUGUUUUGAAGCAAGAGCACAAACAAUCGUUCGGACAAUUUUAAAAUCUUCUCCUCAUAUUCCUUACCAAAGUGAAAUCUUAAAAACCCGUGAUGGUGGUCGCAUUCAAAUAGAUUGGUUAGAAAAUCAAAAUCCAGACCAUCCUGACCCAGCAAAGCGUCCUACAGUUAUACUUUUACCUGGAUUAACAGGAAAUAGUCGAGAAACUUAUGCACUUCAUAUAGUACAACAAUCAUCUAUUUUAGGAUAUAGGUCAGUUGUAUUUAAUUAUAGAGGAACGAGUGCAAAUGAAGAUAAGCUUUUAACACCAAGAACAUAUUGUGCCACUGAUACAGAAGACUUAGAGACUGUUGUAAAUCAUGUGAAAAAUUGUUACCCAGAAGCACCAUUAUUUGGGGUAGGAAUCUCCCUUGGUGGGAUGAUAAUGACUGGUUAUUUAGCAAAAUGUGGUGAAAAUGCUGUCUUCCAAGCUGCUAUGGCUGUAUCAGCUGCCUGGGAUUCUUUUGAAUCUUCAAAAACUCUAGAACAACCAAUUAAUUAUCUCCUUUUCAACAAAUACUUGGCCAGGAAUCUUGUUAAUUUGGUCCAUAAGAACAGAGUUAUUGAGCAUCAUUUUGAUAUGGACUACGUAAUGAAGAGCCAGACUAUAAAAGAAUUUGAUGACAGAUUCACUGCUAAACUCUUUGGUUAUGGUACUUGGGAAAAAUAUUAUCGAGACGCCUGCCUCAAUGACAAGCUUCAUCUCAUUAAGAUACCACUACUCUGUCUAAAUGCCGCUGAUGAUCCUUUUUCUCCAUAUCAUGCAAUUCCAGUUGCGCAGGCGAAAGAAAAUAAAAACGUUGCCUUCGUCAUAACUUCCCAUGGUGGUCAUAUUGGAUUUAUGGAAGGCAUCUUUCCACGCCAUGCAAACUACAUGGACCGCCUUUUCGUCCAGUUUGCUGAUGCUGUCUUUAAACAUGCACACACGGAAUUAAAAACUGAUUAAGGAGAUUCUAAUGAACAUUUCUCCCACUCACACACACUUUUACAUCCAUAAACAUUAUACAACUUGAAUUUAAUGGAACAAAAAUUAUUUCAUUUUCCAAAUAAUUUUCUUUUCAUGAGUUAAUAUCAUUUUUCUCAAUUUGAGUGGGGAGCUUAUUUAAAAAGUAAUAGUUUUAAUUUUAGACUUGAAGGUUUUAAGUGAAAUUAUAAUUAAUGUGAUUUAAUUAACCGAUCAACAUUUUCUGUAUAAGUUUAUAUUCUUUUACAGCUAUAUUUGUAACUUAAUUAAAUUAUUAGUAACUUUAGUGAUAUAAACUAGCUAAGCUCUCCAGUCAAUGUGUGUAUGUGUGUGUGGGACUAAUAGCUAAACGUAGGGGAUUCCAGAGUAUGGUAGGGUCCCAUUCUUGUUUGUCUGUUUACUUAAUUUUAGUGGAACUAAUAUAAAAGAUAUUUAUAUUUUUGAGAGACAAUAUGUCCAGUCUCUUUAGCAGACGUUGUUGUUGUUAACUAUUAAUAUAGAUUUAUUAAUUUACAAAUUUACAUUGAUUAAUGUGUAAAUAAUUACAGUGGAGUUGUAAUUGUUAUAGCAACGACAACGACAGUAAUAGCAAUAACAAUACAUACAUUAAUUAUUUGGUUAUAAUGAAUUUGUGUGAUUUUGUUCAGUUAUCAUUUUAUUCAUUAUGUUUGUCAUUCAUCAGAUGGGACAUCACCAACCCAUUGCCAGAAUUAGCUGUGAUAAAUAUUUGUUGUGGUUUUCAGCUUCUACAUGCUUGCUCUGACUGCUAGAAAUAGCAGCUAAAAUCUCCUUCAAAUCACACCCAAAUGUCUUAAAAAUAAUAGAAAUGACAUGGGUAGUGUAGUCAUAGAUUAUUUAAAGACAGGAUAGUCAUGGCUGGAAGGCCUUUGGUCAUAGGUCUGCUCAAUCAGGGUAGACUUUGGAGCUAAACAACUGCAACAACAACAAAAGCUUCUCGUGAUUUCUUUGAGAUUUAUCCGUGAGAAAAGACAUAUUUUUGUCACUGAUAAGAUGGUCUCUGCAGAAAGGAUCUCUGCUACUGAAUUGUACACAUUCCAACAAACUCUUUCCUGUCAGUGGAACUGGUUGUGUGUGUUUGUGUGUGUGUGAGAGGGGGGGGAGGUGAAAAGAGAAACUUGUUUUAAUGCAGUCAUCGUUUAAGGAAUAUUUUAUACAUAAUGUAUCUAAUGUAUAUAGAAGACAAUAUUUAUUUUCAUCAAAUGCUAAAUUUGUUUUCCCAUUACUACUAAGGCAUUAAUCUUGCUGGUCAGAGAGGGCUUGUGAAGGCCAAAGAUAUUGUGGACAGGUUGAUAUCUGCAUGACUUGUCAGCCAGAACAAGAGUUCUUUAGUCCAACAUAAAUGUCAACCAGUCAAUAAUGAAAUUGAAGAGGUACCUGUAUUAUCAGCUCAGCUAAUUGGGGCACAUGACAUAAUGCAAAACCUUAAACAAAGUACUUUAUUUGGUUAAUUCAGAGAAAGGUAAAAUAAGGGGUUGUUGGUGUGUUGCAGUGCAAAAAGGAGAAUCAAGACAUGCUGUGUGUUACAACAUCACCCCAAUGACUCUGCUAAGGGAUGAGGGUUCAAGGCAAGAAUUAAAAGUGGUUGUAAUCUUUGGGGGAUAAAUAGUAUUCACUGAAAAUUUGAGGUACUUAAUGGUUAUCUGUAGUAUCUGAUAGAGGGGUCAGUUUGACAAUAGUGAUGAUGAACUGUAGUUGUAGAUAUUAGGACACUAUGGUAGUCUGUAUUGGUAGGGGCCAGUUUAAGAAUAUAGUAGUAGUAGUAGUUUGUAUUAACAGGGCCCAGUUUGGAGUGACUAGUGACAAUAUGUAUUGUCAGGAACAAUAUUUGUGGUCUCUAUUAGCAGGGGUCACUUUAAGAACAGCAAUGAGGGUUUGUAUAGGUAAGGAUCAGUUUCUCAUAACUUGUAGGGAUGUGUUUUGUCAGUGGUCAGUUUGAAGUGUCUAACAGUGAUCUGUAUUGUUUGGCAAAGGUCAUUUUAAAGAUGCUGGAGGUUAUCUAUAUUAGCAGGGAUCAAUUUGACCAUUGUUGGUGGUUUAUUUAGGCAAGGGUCAUUUAAAGGGCCCCAAAUGGGUUUACUUUGGUAAGAAUUAGUUCAAUAAAAUAUUUUGGCCAGUAUCUAGACUGUAAUGAUUAUCCUCCAAUCACAGAAAUUAACUUUUCAAUAAUUAACAUAACAGUGGGUGCAAGCACAGUUUGUUAUAUGACAAAUAAAACUGGUGUUAUGUUCUAUGAAACGAAGGUUUGGUGAUGCCAAACAAGAGAAACAAAAGUUAGACAUUUUAGAUAUUUGUUUUCAUGACACAGACAAGCUAAUUUUUGUAUCCUUACUGGAUUUUUUGUAGACAACCCUGUCACUCUCCCAGAAUUUGUGAAAUUGUAUUUGGGUUGGUGAAGAAUCUAGUUUAAAAUAACUAUUUGUUGCCUGUGUGGUUCCUAUUAAAUACUAUGUGUAGUUGGUUAUAAGUCAACUAUUCAAAACCUAUUUACAAACAUCUAAAUUUACAAGACUAAAAAGAAUACACUAAUAUUUAAAAGUUAUUUUUUAUAAAAACACUAAAUCCUGUCUUCUUAGCUUAUUUAAAUUUUGUAUGAUUCUGGGAACACAAGGGUUGGGUUUUAGAAUUCUUUUAUGGUUUGUUUUUUGAUUCCAGAAUUCCUUGUAAGUUCUCUCAGUCUGGUGCGAGAAUGUUGAAGAAACUUUAGAAAUCUAGAAGAAUAUUAACGAAUAAAAUUUCUGUCUCAUGGAGAAACUGAAUCACUGCUGAACAUUUGGUUCUAUAAUAACUGAGCUAACCAGAUGAUUGUUGGGUAGAAUUGGACUCUGUGUUGGAAUAUUGGGAGCUUGAUUAAAAUUUAAUGAAAGUUGGUUAAGUGAAAUGCUGCAGAGAUUAGUGUUGUCAUUAGGGCUUAAAACUCUUUGUAGAUUGUCCUUAAUUUUAAAGUUAAUUAAUUGAUAAAUAGAAAGUUGCUGUAUAAAGAUGAGGACUUACGCAUUUCAUAGAGUUCUGAUCACAGUUUAUUUUUGUUUAAAUAGAUUAAUGCACAGAUAUUUCAGAUGUACAGAUGUGUUUGUGUGUGUGUGUGUGUGUGUGUGUGU